This 278-nucleotide unclassified non-coding RNA is filed under the name Moorella sp. AIP 515.00. RNAcentral describes it as "partial contains 16S-23S ribosomal RNA intergenic spacer and 23S ribosomal RNA". The stretch from base 166 to 278 matches the Rfam family "Bacterial large subunit ribosomal RNA", at positions 1 to 113 of the family's 2925-position model. Lineage: Bacteria; Bacillati; Bacillota; Clostridia; Neomoorellales; Neomoorellaceae. The record is from RNAcentral.
UAAGGAGUACGAGGAAACCGCCGAAAGAAUUUCGGCAGGUCCGGACUCCAGGUCGAUCGCCUGGCUCUUCACCACUGUUUAGUUUUCAGGGACUCACUCCCUGAAGGUUGUUCUUUGAAAACUGCACAGCGAGGAAGCGUCAUAGGGAACCCACCUAAGGAAGAUGGUCAAGCUAGUAAGGGCAUACGGUGGAUGCCUAGGCGCUAAGAGGCGAAGAAGGGCGUGGUAAGCUGCGAAAAGCCUCGGGGAGCCGCAAGCAGGCGUUGAUCCGGGGAUAC